GAUACAUGCUGCGAUUCUUUAUAUUUCUACUCUCACUCGCUCCUUUCGUGUUCACGAAGGCGACAGGAAGUUGCCAAGGCACUGAAUGUCCGCCAAAGACUUGGCACAAUGUAGGAUGCUCUACUGACGACGACUGCGAUGCGCCCUACGUCACGUGCUACAAACGUGUCUGUAGGUGUGAACCCGGGUAUUUCUACACCACACAGGACACGUGGUACUAACACUUGUAGCCCAGACGACAUGCAGGACAGCUUCACAGACUAUCCUGACAGCGCUCUACGUGCAAACCUCAUUGGUAGCCCGGAUGGACUCACUGUGGAAGCCUGCAAGGACAGGUGCCAGACUGACAAGCGUUGCCUCACCUUUGAUUUCAAAGUCAGUGGAGGUCUGUGUCGGCUUCAUAAUGUCACCGCUCAUCAGUCUCCUCUAACUGGU
Molecule: long non-coding RNA, 435 nt
Organism: Pomacea canaliculata
Lineage: Eukaryota; Metazoa; Mollusca; Gastropoda; Architaenioglossa; Ampullariidae
Exons: 4
Source: RefSeq, a predicted model, not a curated record